Molecule: ribosomal RNA, 441 nt
Filed under: uncultured bacterium
Lineage: Bacteria
Description: bacterial SSU rRNA
Rfam family: Bacterial small subunit ribosomal RNA
Source: RNAcentral
AACGCGAAGAACCUUACCUACCCUUGACAUGCUCGGAAUCUGGCAGAGAUGCUGGAGUGCCUUCGGGAGCCGAGACACAGGUGCUGCAUGGCUGUCGUCAGCUCGUGUCGUGAGAUGUUGGGUUAAGUCCCGUAACGAGCGCAACCCCUAUUCUUAGUUGCCAACGGGUGAAGCUGGGAACUCUAAGGAGACUGCCGGUGACAAGCCGGAGGAAGGUGGGGAUGACGUCAAGUCCUCAUGGCCCUUACGGGUAGGGCGACACACGUGUUACAAUGGCCGGUACAGAGGGAAGCGAAGCUGCGAAGUGGAGCGAAUCCUUUUAAAGCCGGUCGUAGUCCGGAUUGGAGUCUGCAACUCGACUCCAUGAAGUUGGAAUCGCUAGUAAUCGCGGAUCAGAACGCCGCGGUGAAUACGUUCCCGGGCCUUGUACACACCGGAGUA